CAGGCCUAACACAUGCAAGUCGAACGAGACCUUCGGGUCUAGUGGCGCACGGGUGCGUAACGCGUGGGAAUCUGCCCUUGGGUUCGGAAUAACUCGCCGAAAGGCGUGCUAAUACCGGAUAAUGACGUAAGUCCAAAGAUUUAUCGCCCAAGGAUGAGCCCGCGUAGGAUUAGCUAGUUGGUGAGGUAAGAGCUCACCAAGGCGACGAUCAGUAGCUGGUCUGAGAGGAUGAUCAGCCACAUUGGGACUGAGACACGGCCCAAACUCCUACGGGAGGCAGCAGUGGGGAAUAUUGGACAAUGGGCGAAAGCCUGAUCCAGCCAUGCCGCGUGAGUGAUGAAGGCCCUAGGGUUGUAAAGCUCUUUUACCUGGGAAGAUAAAGACGGUACCAGGAGAAUAAGCCCCGGCUAACUUCGUGCCAGCAGCCUCGGUAAU
RNAcentral lists this ribosomal RNA (435 nucleotides) under uncultured bacterium. RNAcentral's name for it is "bacterial SSU rRNA". It matches the Rfam family "Bacterial small subunit ribosomal RNA", at positions 43 to 524 of the family's 1533-position model. The record is from RNAcentral.